GGAGAAGGUGAAGGGGCCGAGAGUAGUGAGUAUUGAUGGAGAAGGGACUGAGAAGGACACGCUGGGUGGCGGUAGCGGUGAGGCAUUAAAAAUUGAGCUGUGAGUUUGAGUGAGUAUUAAGUUAAAUGUGUGGUGGUGUGUAGAGCAAUGAGGUGUUUAAUUGCAAUGUAGAGUUCAAUUCUAUAUUGUACUGCAGUCUGUAAUGUAUC
This 209-nucleotide unclassified non-coding RNA is filed under the name Hevea brasiliensis (rubber tree). Lineage: Eukaryota; Viridiplantae; Streptophyta; Magnoliopsida; Malpighiales; Euphorbiaceae. The record is from RNAcentral.